AUUGUGGGGGGAAACCAAAGUACCCAGAGAAAACCCAUGCAUGCACAGGGAGAAUAUGUGAAAUCCAUGCACAAAGACCCAGGCUGGGGUCUGAACCUGGGACCUUCUAGCUGC
Poecilia latipinna (sailfin molly) is the source of this 114-nucleotide long non-coding RNA. RefSeq lists it as uncharacterized. The transcript is spliced from 3 exons. NCBI's taxonomy places the organism in Eukaryota, Metazoa, Chordata, Actinopteri, Cyprinodontiformes, Poeciliidae. The record is from RefSeq and is a predicted model, not a curated record.